RNAcentral lists this ribosomal RNA (492 nucleotides) under uncultured bacterium. RNAcentral's name for it is "partial 16S ribosomal RNA". It matches the Rfam family "Bacterial small subunit ribosomal RNA", at positions 29 to 507 of the family's 1533-position model. The record is from RNAcentral.
AGUGAACGCUGGCGGUAGGCCUGACACAUGCAAGUCGAACGGCAGCACAGUAAGAGCUUGCUCUUACGGGUGGCGAGUGGCGGACGGGUGAGGAAUACAUCGGAAUCUACUUUUUCGUGGGGGAUAACGUAGGGAAACUUACGCUAAUACCGCAUACGACCUACGGGUGAAAGCAGGGGAUCUUCGGACCUUGCGCGAUUGAAUGAGCCGAUGUCGGAUUAGCUAGUUGGCAGGGUAAAGGCCCACCAAGGCGACGAUCCGUAGCUGGUCUGAGAGGAUGAUCAGCCACACUGGAACUGAGACACGGUCCAGACUCCUACGGGAGGCAGCAGUGGGGAAUAUUGGACAAUGGGCGCAAGCCUGAUCCAGCCAUACCGCGUGGGUGAAGAAGGCCUUCGGGUUGUAAAGCCCUUUUGUUGGGAAAGAAAAGCAGCAGGUUAAUACCCCGCUGUUCUGACGGUACCCAAAGAAUAAGCACCGGCUAACUUCGUG